UUCCGUAAGGGGGACCUGCGGAGGGAUCAUUACCGAGUUUACAACUCCCAAACCCAAUGUGAACGUUACCAAACUGUUGCCUCGGCGGGAUCUCUGCCCCGGGUGCGUCGCAGCCCCGGACCAAGGCGCCCGCCGGAGGACCAACCAAAACUCUUAUUGUAUACCCCCUCGCGGGUUUUUUUAUAAUCUGAGCCUUCUCGGCGCCUCUCGUAGGCGUUUCGAAAAUGAAUCAAAACUUUCAACAACGGAUCUCUUGGUUCUGGCAUCGAUGAAGAACGCAGCGAAAUGCGAUAAGUAAUGUGAAUUGCAGAAUUCAGUGAAUCAUCGAAUCUUUGAACGCACAUUGCGCCCGCCAGUAUUCUGGCGGGCAUGCCUGUCCGAGCGUCAUUUCAACCCUCGAACCCCUCCGGGGGGUCGGCGUUGGGGAUCGGCCCUGCCUUGGCGGUGGCCGUCUCCGAAAUACAGUGGCGGUCUCGCCGCAGCCUCUCCUGCGCAGUAGUUUGCACACUCGCAUCGGGAGCGCGGCGCGUCCACAGCCGUUAAACACCCAACUUCUGAAAUGUUGACCUCGGAUCAGGUAGGAAUACCCGCUGAACUUAAGCAUAUCUAA
Molecule: ribosomal RNA, 610 nt
Filed under: Trichoderma harzianum
Lineage: Eukaryota; Fungi; Ascomycota; Sordariomycetes; Hypocreales; Hypocreaceae
Description: eukaryotic LSU rRNA
Rfam family: 5.8S ribosomal RNA (bases 234-387)
Source: RNAcentral